ACACUGGGUUUGAUCCUCAGUACCACAUAAAAAUAAAAAUAUAAAGAUAUAAAGAAUAUAACAUUAAAUUUGUUUAAAAAAACUUAAGGAAAUGAAGACAAUUGGUAUGGAAGGGAGGAAAGCCAUAAACUGAAAUGCUUUCUGCAGAUCACAAAGUCAUAGGGCAUGGGCUGCGAUUUGGGCUCAGAGGUAGAGUGCAAGUCUAGUUUGUGUGAGGCAUUGGGUUUGAUCCUCAGCACCACAUAAAGUAAAAUAGACAUUGUGUUCAUCCUUAUUUGAUAUUCCCAGAAAUUUACACGAACAAACUUAAAUUCAGCUGCCUACACAGGUUGGGGGCAGCAGAAGUGCUCUCCUACUGAACGAUAUCACUAGACCCAUGGACUGUGUUUUGGAAAAAUAUUUAUAUUUUAGUUAUAAUUGGAUACAAAACCUUUAUUUUAUUUAUGUACUUUUAUGUGAUGUUGAGGAUCAAACCCAGGGCCUCACACAUGAUAGGCAAGCAUUCUACCACUGAGCCACAACCCCAGCCCAACCCAUGGCCCUUUUAAAUUUACAAUUGCUCCAGUGAUUGCAGCUUCAGAAAAUCCAUAGCCUGUUUGGACGUAUUUUGAGAAAGCCUGCCCUAUGGCUUUUUAAAAACAUAUUUAUUUUUUAGUUGUAGUUGGACACAAUACCUUUAUUUUAUUUAUUUUCAUGUGGUUUUUUGGAUUCAAAUCAGAGCCUCACACAUGCUAGGCAAGCACUCUACCCCUGAGCCACAACCCACAGCCACAAGGUGUAAUACAUUUAAUCCAUUUAAACAUUUUAUGUGGAGUGUCCCUGUGAUUAUGGUGAAAGCAUGGAAGUUUGUUUAAUGAAUAUUUAAUAUUAACUUUUUUGCCCUGGGACGGCUGGGAAGUAUCCAUGUGGAGGGGCCUAUGGGGCACUCGCUCUCCCUCUUUUCUCACAGAGAUGGGUCCAACUUUCCCCUUCCCCAGUGUUGUAGAUCUCCGGAAGCAGUGCAUGCCAAAUUGGUUCUAAGGGCUGCACAAGUCAGGCUGGGACAAAGCCCAGCUGGGUCGGUGGUGGUUACUUAGGAACAAAGAACCAAGCAGCCUGAGUAUGGGAAAGAAACACGUGUCAAUCAGCAGAGUCUUCUGGCCAAUCCUGGAUUUCAUCCAGUUCCACCAACCAACUUUACCAGGAGAAGGGACUCAAAAUACCUUUUCCUGUCCCAAGGCCUUCCCUUCUUGCCGUAAGCCCCAGUCCCAUGGAGCUCCCACCCGUUUUCUCCUGUGACACUUGUCCUGUUUACUCUGUCUGAUAAAGUUCUGCCCUAGAGCAUCAUCUCAAAUAAAGCCUCAUUCAGCGGCCUUUUAAAAUCUGUCUCCUUUGGUUAACAUCCAUUGCUGGACCUCACACCCUCCCCUACCAGAAAAAAUAAAAGCACAAAGCAUUGAGAGGGCCUGCUAGGGGUGUUAACUCCAUGUGAUUUCUGCCCAGUCCUCUGAAUGUCAAAGUGAAGAAAUUCAGUGAAGUGCAGUUAAACGGAGGGAGUAACUAUGAUAAUCUUAAGGCCCUCAAAUGCCUCCUCUUCUAAUUAGUGAUGCAUGAAUAGAUGAAAAAGAUUCCCACUUUCUCUAUGUACUAUCCAGCAAAACCACAGCCAAAGGAAUGGGCUCUGCAGACCCAGUGAGGAAAGAACUGUAGAAACAAAGAACCAGAAAGAAGCCCAGCUUGCCCCCCAUGCCCCCCAAAGGGCUCUAUUUUUUCUUCCUCAGCCAGAGCUGGAAGUCCAAAGAACAAUAACAACAAUAACAAAACAAACAA
Non-coding RNA from Ictidomys tridecemlineatus (thirteen-lined ground squirrel), 1809 nucleotides. NCBI's taxonomy places the organism in Eukaryota, Metazoa, Chordata, Mammalia, Rodentia, Sciuridae. The record is from RefSeq and is a predicted model, not a curated record.